Anolis carolinensis (green anole) is the source of this 1888-nucleotide long non-coding RNA. The record is from Ensembl. NCBI's taxonomy places the organism in Eukaryota, Metazoa, Chordata, Lepidosauria, Squamata, Anolidae.
GGGACAUUUAGAAUGCUAAGCCAGAGAGCUCUAGUGUGAGAUUUGCGCCCGUACCUUGGGAAGUCAGAUGUGGCCAUGGUGGUCCAUGCUCUCACAUCUAGGAUAGAAUAUAUAUAUAUACAUAUACAUAUAUUUUUAUUUAUUUAUUUCCAGAAUUUAUACCCCGCCCUUCUCACCCGAGGGGACUCAGGGCAGCCAACAAUAACAUGAAUCCUUAUUACCGGACUCUUAAAAAGUAUUGAUCAAACAAACUACAGUAACUAAGAACUGGGGACUCUGUGCAAGAUACAGCCUCCUUUUCCCAUUUGCAUCGGGUAAUUUUGCCUUCACCUUUCAGUGAACCCGCUUUAAUUCAUAUUUCUCUUAGUUUUAGCCCUUUAGUAUAGAAAAGUGUCUUUUGAACAUCAGGUAGAGGCAUGGUCUUUACCAGGGACAUCAAACAUUUUCACAAGAUGGAUCCCAGAUAAAUCGCAUACCACAUUAGCAGGUGCAUGAUUACCUCUUUAUUCUGAAGGUUAGUCUUACCUUUUCAUAAAAAAAAGAACUCUUUUCCACUUGCUUGAAGCUAUAAACCAAAGAAACCAUCUUGACACCAAACAUAAACUCAGUCAGGGUGACAAUCAGGUUGAUGUGUGAAGAUAAUUAGAAAGGAAGCUGUGACGAACCUCAUGGCAUUCCUAAAUUCAUGGUACACAUAGCUGCCUUUCAGAUGAUCUUGACUUUCUCAUUGACCUGAGGCAGUACAUUCUUUUUCCUCUUACGUCCCCCAAUACUCAACUUCUUCCUUUUACCAUUUAAAUAGUUUUGUCAGUGCAUUAUCCUCCAAAUAAAGUGCCUGUGAUGACAGUUUUGCAACAAAAACAAAAAUGAAAUGACACUUAACAGUGAGGCUGCAAGGAAAAUAAACAGAGAGGAGGCAGGUAGGGUGGGAGAUGGAAUGAAAAGAGAAAGGAGAGGAAGAAAAGGGGAGAAAGAAAAUCAGUGGAAGGUAAAUUGAAUGGGAAAUUGUCACUGUAAUGAAUUGAGAGAAUUCCCUUUGGCUUCCUCUGUUUCAUAAGUGAACUUUGGAUGCUCAGAGGGAAAACGGUUAGACUGAAAAAUGGAAUUUUCGAUGUGUUAUGUCUUAGAAUGACAUCUGUGCCAAACUAGUCUUCUUCAGUGUUCUCUAAAUGUGCUGGACUAGAGUUCCUAUAAUGCAGUAGAUGGAAGGCAUCAGGAGUUGUUUAUUGGCCUACAGAAUGUCAGUGUUGCUUCAAAAGCGACUGAAAAGCCGUACAUUUUAAUACUCUAAAACAGGGGUCCCCAAACCUUUUAAACAGGAGGCCAGUUCACAAUCCUUCGGACCGUUGGAGGGCCGGACUAUAGUUGGAUACCGAGCAAUAAUAAUAAUUAAUAACAACAACAACAAUAAAGAGGGUUGGAAGAAACCCCUUAGGCCAUUUAGUCCAAACCCCUUCUGCCUUUGUGCACCGAAAGCACAAGCACAGCACCCCUGACAGAUGGCCACCUAGCCUCAAUGUUAAUAAUAAUAAUAAUAAUAAUAAUAAUAAUAAUAAUAAUAAUAAUAAUAAUAUAGGGUUUUGGAACACAAUACUCCUGACCUCACAAUUGUAUUAAAAAACAAAGUAUGUAUUGUCAAUGUUGCAAUCCCAGGUGACAGAAGGAUUGAGGAGUCACAACUGGAAAAGCUGACAUGAUAUCAGGAUUUAAAGAUCGAAUUACAAAGACUCUGGCACAAGCCAGUCAAGGUGGUCCCAGUGGUGAUUGGCACAUUGGGUGCAGUGCCUAAAGACCUUGGCCUGCACUUAAACACAAUCGGCGCUAGCAAAAUUACCAUCUGCCAGCUGCAGAAGGCCACCUUACUGGGAUCUGCACGCAUUAUUCGCCG